UUAAAUGACUUGGAUGUUUUAUAGGUUGGCACUCAUCAUGAGCCCCUGUUCUCAUUCUGCAAAUGGUGAAGCUCUCUAUUGUCCUGACCCCACAGUUCCUGUCCCAUGACCAGGGCCAGCUCACCAAGGAGCUGCAGCAGCAUGUAAAGUCAGUGACAUGCCCAUGCGAGUACCUGAGGAAGGUUGAUGGACGGAUGGCUACAUGGAUGUGAUGGAGAUGGUUUACUAUCGGGACCUUCCGCACCCUGCUGAUGUUUUGUUGCUUAGGAUAUGAAUGGCUGAGCGGAGGCUGUAAAACCUGGCACUCUGCUUGGGUAUGAGGUUCUUCCUGCCAUCCUGCCAUCAUUUGUUUUUUAUGUUUUGUCGCCAUAAGUGACCUUGAGGAACCCUGGGAGCUCAGGAAGGAAGGAGCGCCCAGAAGCAGGGACAGGGAGCUGGUUGGGGAGGACCAGAAAUCAGGUUAUCAAUACUCUGGCUGACCAUCAUCAUCGUGGGACUGACUUUGGUGGAAGUCCUUGGUUACAUGUCAUUAUUGCGUUUCCGACAAGUUAUAAAGUUGUCAUUACCCUCUGGAUAGUUUACCUUUGGGUGUCUCUCCUGAAGACUAUCUUCUGGUCUCGAAAUGGACAUGAUGGAUCCACGGAUGUACAGCAGAGAGCCUGGAGGUCCAACCGCCGUAGACAGGAAGGGCUGAGGUCCAUUUGUAUGCACACAAAGAAAAGAGUUUCUUCCUUUCGAGGAAAUAAAAUUGGCCUGAAAGACGUCAUUACUCUACGGAGACAUGUGGAAACAAAAGUUAGAGCUAAAAUCCGUAAGAGGAAGGUGACAACGAAAAUCAACCAUCAUGA
Molecule: long non-coding RNA, 848 nt
Filed under: Homo sapiens (human)
Lineage: Eukaryota; Metazoa; Chordata; Mammalia; Primates; Hominidae
Description: non-protein coding lnc-NPIPB3-2:6
Source: RNAcentral